AACACAAUAUAUAUAGAUUAGGUAAAAAUUAUAAAAUUAUUAUAUGUUUAUAUACUUAUUCGAAUUCGUUUAGCUUCGAAUAGUAUUUUAAGUAUCUGAAUUCGAUUAAGCCUAAACGAUAUCCAUUGACAUGAUCUAAUCAUGUUUAGUAAGGUCAAAACCUUUCAUUUGUAGGGUAAAUUCUCGGAAAUAAUUGAAUGUACAUGAUUGAUGAGCGAAAGAAUGUUUAGAUAUCUGGUGGAUUUACCAACUCAGUGAGAAUCGAUAAUCACAAUAUUGAUAUUCCUUGCUUUCCCUCAAUAGGCUGAUAACUUAUAUAACCUUUUGCAAUAGUGGACCUCCUAGAAUCUCGGCUGGAGCUGUUGCGCCUUUUCUGGGAAGUAGCAUGACAAAUCGAAAUAACCAACAUUUUUAGUUUGCUUAAAGUUAUUACCUCUUUGUUGACAAGGUUCUCUUUCCCAAUACACUCGAUGAAUGGAGCAAGUCUUGUAUGUUUGGAGAGAAAUCUGGAUUUGUGGAAUGGUUUAUAAGUAAGAAAGGAUAUUGUUCAU
This 551-nucleotide long non-coding RNA is filed under the name Zostera marina. RNAcentral describes it as "long non-coding RNA (ZMAR_LNC003600)". Lineage: Eukaryota; Viridiplantae; Streptophyta; Magnoliopsida; Alismatales; Zosteraceae. The record is from RNAcentral.